Long non-coding RNA from Quercus lobata, 687 nucleotides. RefSeq lists it as uncharacterized. NCBI's taxonomy places the organism in Eukaryota, Viridiplantae, Streptophyta, Magnoliopsida, Fagales, Fagaceae. The transcript has 4 exons. The record is from RefSeq and is a predicted model, not a curated record.
UUUUUUCUUUAAUUUUUUUUUUUUCUUUCUUUUCAUUCGGCUCCCACUUCUCAAGCUCUUAAAAGUUAAAAACCCAUUUCCCAUCCAACUCCAUUUUCUUUUUUUCUCUCUAACCCAUUUUCAUUUUCACCAUGCGGAGCUCUCUCUCUCACAUCUCCACCGCCCGUAGCCCUAGCCGCCGCCACCGCAUCGUCUUAGCUGUAGCCGCCGCCGCCAUAGAUCUACACUAUCUCACCUCAGCCACCACCCACUGCCACCGAUCUGAUCUUCUUCAUUAGAUCAUCUCUCAAACCCACACUCACUAGAUGAUCUCUGAUGUGUCUGAGAUGGGCGCUUAUGAUGCUGGGUUUGAUGAUGCUGGUGGUGAUUUCUAAAUUCUUAGGUGGUUCUUGGUUGGGAAGAGCAUAAAGUUGUACAGUGAUUUCUAUUCCUCAGACGUGAUUAUUGCUUCUCCAGUUCGUUUGAUUGCUGAUGGUACUAGCGGAGAUGAAGAGGACAACUCAAACAAUAACAUGGAGGUUGAAAGCAACUUGGAGGGUGACCGAGAGAAAAACUAAUAUAGAUCUUUUCAUAAUUCUAGUUGUUUAAAACAAUAUUUUUAUGUCACGGUUUAAUUUCAGGAUUUCUUUGUAUAUUCUAUAUUUUAAAGCUUGAACUCAUAAGAAUUUUUAUGUUUCAAUGGAUCAA